CAGCUAAGGUCCCAAAGUGCGUGUUAAGUGGAAAAGGAUGUGGGAUUUCGAAGACAACUAGGAUGUUGGCUCAGAAGCAGCCAUACAUUCAAAGAGUGCGUAACAGCUCACUAGUCGAGAGUUCCUGCGCCGAAAAUGUCCGGGGCUGAAACACGACACCGAAGCCGUGGACUCGCAAUGCGAGUGGUAGAGGAGCAUUCUUAAAACCGACGAAGCUGUACCGGAAGGAGCAGUGGAGGGAUAAGAAGAGAGAAUGCCGGAAUGAGUAGCGAGAGAAAGGUGGGAAUCCUUUCGGCCGAAUAUCUAAGGUUUCCAGAGUAAAGCUGAUCUGCUCUGGGUAAGUCGGGGCCUAAGCACAGGUCGCAAGACGUAAGCGAUGGAUAACAGGUUUAGAUUCCUGUACCACGCAUUAUCAGAACUGUAGGGACGCAUGUGGAAAGCACGGGCCGGGAAUGGAAAGACCGGUACAAGCGGGGUAGGUGUACAACAGGCAAAUCCGUUGUAUAAUCCGAAGACGUGAUGUGGAGCGAAAUAAAGUAGUGAAGCGUGUGAGCCAUGUGCCGAGAAAAGCUGCUAUUGUGUAAUGCGUGCCCGUACCGUAAACCGACACAGGUGGAUGAGGAGAGAAUCCUAAGGCCGACGGAAGAAGCAUUGUUAAGGAACUCGGCAAAAUGACCCCGUAACUUCGGGAGAAGGGGUGCCUGCGAGAGCAGGCCGCAGAGAAUAGGCUCAAGCAACUGUUUAGCAAAAACACAGGUCUAUGCGAAACCGAAAGGUGAGGUAUAUGGGCUGACGCCUGCCCGGUGCUGGAAGGUUAAGAGGAGAGGUCAGGAAACGAAGCCUUGAAUUGAAGCCCCAGUAAACGGCGGCCGUAACUAUAACGGUCCUAAGGUAGCGAAAUUCCUUGUCGGGUAAGUUCCGACCCGCACGAAAGGCGUAAUGAUUUGAGCACUGUCUCGACAAUGCAUCCGGUGAAAUUGAAGUACCAGUGAAGAUGCUGGUUACCUGCGCCAGGACGGAAAGACCCCAUGGAGCUUUACUCCAGCUUGAUACUGGGAUUCGAUACUGUAUGUACAGGAUAGGUGGGAGACGUUGAGCAUAGAACGCCAGUUUUAUGUGAGUCGCUGUUGGGAUACCACCCUUGCAGUAUUGGAUUUCUAACCUGCACCCAUGACCUGGGUGGGGGACAAUGUCUGGCGGGGAGUUUGACUGGGGCGGUCGCCUCCGAAAGGGUAUCGGAGGCGCUCAAAGGUUCCCUCAGAAUGGUUGGAAACCAUUCGAAGAGUGCAAAGGCAGAAGGGAGCUUGACUGUGACACCGACGGGUGGAGCAGGUACGAAAGUAGGACUUAGUGAUCCGGUGGUAUAAAGUGGGAUUGCCAUCGCUCAACGGAUAAAAGCUACCCUGGGGAUAACAGGC
Molecule: ribosomal RNA, 1418 nt
Filed under: human gut metagenome
Description: bacterial LSU rRNA
Rfam family: Bacterial large subunit ribosomal RNA
Source: RNAcentral